This 494-nucleotide ribosomal RNA is filed under the name uncultured bacterium. RNAcentral's name for it is "partial 16S ribosomal RNA". It matches the Rfam family "Bacterial small subunit ribosomal RNA", at positions 30 to 507 of the family's 1533-position model. The record is from RNAcentral.
AUUGAACGCUGGCGGCAUGCUUUACACAUGCAAGUCGAACGGCAGCGGGGAGGAGCUUGCUUCUCUGCCGGCGAGUGGCGAACGGGUGAGUAAUACAUCGGAACGUGUCGAGAAGAGGGGGAUAACCACCCGAAAGGGUGGCUAAUACCGCAUAAAUUCUGAGGAAGAAAGCUGGGGACCUAGGAAUAGGCCUAGCGCUUUUUGAGCGGCCGAUGUCGGAUUAGCUAGUUGGUGAGGUAAAGGCUCACCAAGGCGAAGAUCUGUAGCGGGUCUGAGAGGAUGAUCCGCCACACUGGGACUGAGACACGGCCCAGACUCCUACGGGAGGCAGCAGUGGGGAAUUUUGGACAAUGGGGGCAACCCUGAUCCAGCCAUGCCGCGUGUAUGAAGAAGACCUUAGGGUUGUAAAGUACUUUUGUUAGGGAAGAAAAGUCAGCUGUGAAUAAUGGCUGAUACUGACGGUACCUAAAGAAUAAGCACCGGCUAACUACGUG